This is a long non-coding RNA of Spinacia oleracea (spinach), 800 nucleotides long. RefSeq lists it as uncharacterized. Lineage: Eukaryota; Viridiplantae; Streptophyta; Magnoliopsida; Caryophyllales; Amaranthaceae. The record is from RefSeq and is a predicted model, not a curated record. The transcript is spliced from 4 exons.
CCCCAUACUUCUAGUCCAUGUAAAACACAAAACACCAAACACCAAACCCCUCUAUUCCUUUCACGUAAAAACCAAAAAAAAAAAAAAAAACCCAAAACCUCUCCUCUAUUCCAUUCACGUGAACCAGGGAAACACUCAAACAUUUUGCUCCUUCUUGCGCAGCCGCCGGCCAACCGCCACACCGGACCACCGACCGUCGGUCCUCCCCUUCCCCGCCACACCACCAUCAUCCACCAUCAACCGGACACCACCACCACCACCAGUCGCGCAGCCACCGCGCCGUGGUGUUGCUACCGCGCCCUCCACGCACAGCAGCGCUCGUGCCCCUUCUCUUCGUGUUCGUCCUCCCUUCUUCGCGUCAUUGCAGCAACCUUCCAGCCACGAUUUUGUUGCCGCCGCCAACCACCUUGCACAGCACUGCCGCCGCCGUCCUUUCCUCCGGCCGGCGCCCCCUCACUCUCUUCUCUUGUGGCGGAGAAUUCUCUUUAGGCGACUUUUGAAAGUGUUAAAGUGGCCUAUUAGUUUGUUUACACGAGUCUCUAAGGAUCAAUAAGCGUUUCCCAUCUACAGGUUUGAAGAUGAUGCAUCAUUGGGAUCGGGAUUAGAGAGCUUGUAUUUAGUUUUGUUUUGCUAAGUGACUUGGUUUGUUAAUUUGUACUUUAAACUUGUCGUACUAUUUAUAAUUUCUUAUUUUCGUUGGUUGGCUUUUGGGAUUAAACCUGUAAUCGAUUAUUUAUAAACCUAAAGUUAGUUUUAUGUUUUCCGCUGCAAAAUUAUGAAUAAGCAGUUACGUUUUCACA